AAGAAUGUCCGAACUCCCCUUCAUUAAACCUGGUACCCCAUUUCGUUUCACUUCACCUCCUUCAGAGAAACCCCCCAUGCCCUCUCUGCCAUUUCCGCCAGUGCAACCUCCAAACCACCGCCGAACCUCGACCAAAAUCACAACCCCAGACUCCUUUUCAUCCCCCUCUCUACAAAUUCCCCAGUAACUUCCCUUGAAUCACCACUAAAUGAGGAUAAUUUCAGAUCUAAAAAGGGCCGAGGAGCGAAAGAAAAAUCUCCCAAAUCUUUGCAGGCUUCGAUGACUUGGCUAGGUCUGUAAUUGUUGUUUCUCGAUGGUUAACAAGAACCAACGGCUAAUAUCAAUUACGGUUCAAAAUCUAAGGAGUCAGAGGUCCUUUCAAGCCAUCUCCGUCCUUUGAUUUAGGUAUUUAAGUUUUUCUUUUGUUCUUCUCAUCUUCAUCUCUUCCGAUUUUCUGCUUCUUUUUCCUCUGUUUCUUUUUUGGGGUUAAUUGUUCUGUACACCUUUAAGAUUGAGUUAUAAUUGGUUUAAAUUAAUUAUUUUAUUAAACACGUGUCAAUAUUUUAAGUUAUUUUCAAAAAAAAGAUAAGGAAAAAUGGUCUCAUGUCCAAACAAAUUAACGCAGAAUUUGAAACAUGAGACCAUUUUUCCUUAUCUUUUGAAGGACAAGCGGCUGGGGGAGUGAUUCUGAAAAAACACUGAAAUUCUGUAUCACUUGGGGUGGGAAUUGAUUUUAAAUCUGCUCCCUAAUCUUAAGUUUCAACUAGAAUUUUAAAAGGCUUCAACGAAUCCUUGUUUUAUCUGGGAAAAAUGGUUCAAAAAGCUGAAAUUGCUGGGUUUUUGGAAGCUGUUUGAUUGGUUUUACUGUUGAUCUCUGCUGCUAUACUUGCUAGCCUUGUGGCGCUCUAAGCUGAUUCUCAAACUUUUGUUUAUCUUUGCUGUAACCAGGUACUCAUUCGACCUCAAAUGACAUGUUGAAAUAGGAAUGAGAAUGCUGAUGGCACCAUGUUUUUAUGGCAAUCUAUUUCAGAUUAUUUGAUUUUGUAUUCACGUGAGCCUUGUUGAUUAACUUGUGUGUAUUUUGAUAGCUAAUUUGAGUGGCUGUAGUACUCUACUGAAGCCACUAAGUGUUGUAGUUUUAAUGUUGAUUAGUAGUAAGUCCUGGUCUCUGUUGUUCUAGCAUGUAAAAGAUGUGUAUUUCAUCUCAAAUUGGUUGAAAUUGUUAGAAAAAUCGAAGUACGAUACCUAUUUGAAUUAGUUUGAUCCCGGUUUUCAGCUAUGAAUGUUCGUGUUGGUGAAUCUAAUCAUGUUAGGUUUAAUUAAGAUUGGUUAAAUUCCUGUUUAAAUUUUGCAGAUUGCUUGGAAAUAAGAAUUGUUGGAAAUUUUUCAUAUGUCACCAGCUUGGUCACUAUUUUGUUUGAUAGCUAUUAGUGGUCCGUGUAAUCGCUGGAGCCUUACAUUGAAAUACAAGGUUGAAUUGCUAUAUGUUUAUUCUAUUGGAG
RNAcentral lists this long non-coding RNA (1502 nucleotides) under Nicotiana tabacum (common tobacco). RNAcentral describes it as "long non-coding RNA (NTAB_LNC019415)". The record is from RNAcentral. Lineage: Eukaryota; Viridiplantae; Streptophyta; Magnoliopsida; Solanales; Solanaceae.